This 800-nucleotide ribosomal RNA is filed under the name uncultured bacterium. RNAcentral's name for it is "bacterial SSU rRNA". It matches the Rfam family "Bacterial small subunit ribosomal RNA", at positions 8 to 783 of the family's 1533-position model. The record is from RNAcentral.
AGAGUUUGAUCCUGGCUCAGAAUGAACGCUGGCGGCGUGCUUAACACAUGCAAGUCGAACGAGGCGGAGGGGGGCAACUCCCUCCAGUCGAGUGGCGGACGGGUGAGUAACACGUGGGUAACCUGCCCGGAAGUGGGGAAUACCUCGGGGAAACUCGAGCUAAUACCGCAUGACAUCUUCGGGACGAAAGUCCUGACGAUCAAAGCGGGGCCGCAAGGUCUCGCGCUACCGGAUGGGCCCGCGCUCGAUUAGCUAGUUGGUGAGGUAACGGCUCACCAAGGCGACGAUCGGUAACCGGCCUGAGAGGGCGAUCGGUCACACCGGAACUGAGACACGGUCCGGACUCCUACGGGAGGCAGCAGUGGGGAAUCUUGCGCAAUGGGCGAAAGCCUGACGCAGCAACGCCGCGUGGAGGAUGAAGGCCCUUGGGUUGUAAACUCCUGUCGGUUGGGAAGAAAUCGCGCGGUGCUCAUACCACCGUGCGUUGACUGUACCAGCAAAGGAAGCCCCGGCUAACUCUGUGCCAGCAGCCGCGGUAAUACAGAGGGGGCCAGCGUUAUUCGGAAUUAUUGGGCGUAAAGGGCGCGUAGGCGGCCCCGCGUGUCUUCCGUGAAAUCCCUCGGCUCAACUGAGGACGUGCGGGAGAAACUGCGGCCUCUCGAGUCCGGGAGAGGGGGGUGGAAUUCCCAGUGUAGCGGUGAAAUGCGUAGAUAUUGGGAGGAACACCGGUGGCGAAGGCGGCCCCCUGGACCGGUACUGACGCUGAGGCGCGAAAGCGUGGGGAGCAAACGGGAUUAGAU